Molecule: long non-coding RNA, 949 nt
Organism: Mus spicilegus (steppe mouse)
Lineage: Eukaryota; Metazoa; Chordata; Mammalia; Rodentia; Muridae
Source: Ensembl
UAAAUACACAUCUAUGUUGUUAUAUAACCAUUACCAUUAUCCACUGUCAAAACUUUAUCGUACUAAGCAGAAGUUAAGUCCCAGACCAUAUGACCUUCCCACCUCUGCCUCCCAAGUGCUGGGAUUAAAGACAUGCAAUAGCUGUGCUUGGAAAAUUUGAACAUUUUUUUUCUUAUUAGCAUGUAUGAAUUGUGCAUAAUAAUGGUCCCAUUGUGACAUUGGCUGAACCAUUUCCAGUAACUAUGCGUAUCUGUUCUAGAUGCCUUGGGCAAGUGGCUGUGUGGAGGUCUUGCUUACUCUGCCUAACAUAAUGUCGUUGUCCUAGUUUGCUCUCUGUUGCUGUGAUCAAACACUCGCAAAAGCUACCUGGGGGAAGAGAAAAGGGUUUGUCAUAGACCGCAGUCCACCGUUGAGAGGAUUCAAGGGAAGAACCUAGAACUGAAGCAGAGCAGUACUGCUUCCUGGCAGGCUCCCCCGGCUUUCUCAGCUACCCUUCUUACACGGCCCGGGCCCAUCUUCCUAGGGAUGGCUGUCUUCUUCCCAUUGGAAAGAGGGUGAUGGUUCUCAGCACAGGAACAAANGGGCUGCAUGGCCCAGCGAUCUGGACAAAGGCCAAAAAGCCAAAGACUGUUGAAGCCGCAGUCUCCACUCUUCUACUGACGCCAGCGACCACCCAGCCCAGCCAGGCCAUAUGGCCUCCUGCUUGCCUGAUGUAUGAGAGCUUCCAUUCGGCGAAUGAGGCAAAGCCAGAAGACUUCUGUGUCCUUGCUGUGUCUCCGUGGUCUACCUGAGAGCAUCGAGGUGGAUGAGACUGGAGCUGUUUUGUAUGUGAGUGGAGUGGCUGCAGCCGGCAGGCAUUUAUCUCCAAAGCUGGGCCCUGCCUGUCAGGCUUCCUGCAGGCACCUAAGGACCAGAUCCAUCCCUGGGGACCUGGGCACUGCUCAGCGCG